This 623-nucleotide ribosomal RNA is filed under the name uncultured bacterium. Its description in RNAcentral is "bacterial SSU rRNA". The stretch from base 1 to 533 matches the Rfam family "Bacterial small subunit ribosomal RNA", at positions 338 to 873 of the family's 1533-position model. The record is from RNAcentral.
CCUACGGGAGGCAGCAGUGAGGAAUAUUGGACAAUGGGCGCAAGCCUGAUCCAGCCAUGCCGCGUGCAGGAUGACGGUCCUAUGGAUUGUAAACUGCUUUUAUACGAGAAGAAACACUCCGACGUGUCGGAGCUUGACGGUAUCGUAAGAAUAAGGAUCGGCUAACUCCGUGCCAGCAGCCGCGGUAAUACGGAGGAUCCAAGCGUUAUCCGGAAUCAUUGGGUUUAAAGGGUCCGUAGGCGGUUUAAUAAGUCAGUGGUGAAAGCCCAUCGCUCAACGGUGGAACGGCCAUUGAUACUGUUAAACUUGAAUUAUUAGGAAGUAACUAGAAUAUGUAGUGUAGCGGUGAAAUGCUUAGAGAUUACAUGGAAUACCAAUUGCGAAGGCAGGUUACUACUAAUUGAUUGGCGCUGAUGGACGAAAGCGUGGGUAGCGAACAGGAUUAGAUACCCUGGUAGUCCACGCCGUAAACGAUGGAUACUAGCUGUUGGGAGCAAUCUCAGUGGCUAAGCGAAAGUGAUAAGUAUCCCACCUGGGGAUACGUUCGCAAGAAGAGAAAGACGAAAGAAGUUAGACGGACGUGAGACGUAGACCGACGGACGACGACGAGGGGAGGGAGGGAG